GAGUGAGUGAAAUAUGCAGGAGAAAUGGAGGGAAAGCAAAAACAAGAACUGAACCUCCAAUUCGUUUUCUCUGAACCAAGAACCGUCUAUGGUCGCCGUCGUGGACCAAACCGGUCUGGAGCUAGUGGUGCUUCUCAGAUUUAAUUAGCCACACUUUCUAGGCCUCUGGCCCCUGUCGCCUUCUUUACGGCUCCGAAAGCACACUGGUCACUGAGUGAGGAGGUGCUUGGUACGAGACAAAGUAGUUGCCUGCAGAGAGAAAGAUUCAGAAAUAAGAGAUUUGAAGGAAAAGAUAGUGAAACUCAGUAGCUACGGCAGGCAGUUGGAGAAGCAAAAAACAGAACUUAUACAAAAGGUGAAGUCACAGCAUGGAAAAAGGAAAAGAACAUCCAUCUACCCUAAGACCAUCUAGCUCAAAUCCCCCAUCCGGGGACAUACCAUCAACUUCUCCAAACAUCCCAAUGCACGGUUACAACGUAGGAUCCCCAUCCGCGGACAUACCAUCAACUUCUCCAAACAUCCCAAUGCCCGGUUACUAUGGACCAGUGCAUGCUUGGUCACCAAGUUUUCUCCCAUUUCCCGCUGUCAACCAAUAUCAAGCAAUGCACAGGUGGUGAAAAUCAUGUUUUCCAUUUAGUUUUAAUAAGUUGGUUUUUUUGAAGAGUUGAACUGCAGUUGGUUUUUUUGAAGAGUUUAAUUGCAUUUUUUUUUUCUUUUUGACAGAAUACUUGUUACCCAUUUCAACAUGGCAUGGAAGGCCAGUUGUCUCUCAGCAAUACCUCCGUUACAAGCAGAUUUCUUGGUACGAAGGAUAAUAGACCCAAUAUUGGGGAAAAUGAAUCGCCAGCUACAUCUUUUAGAGUUGAAGAAAUUCAUCCUGAUAGACCAGAUGCAGAAGAAACAUAGUAUGGAAGUGCCGGAACAUCUGAGAAAGUGCAAAUAGAUGGUGAUGAUGAGCCAGGUUCGGGGAUGGAGUUUAAUUCCUUAGAAGAGUUAAUGAGUUAUUAUAAGGAAUAUGGUAAGAAAUGCGGGUUUUGGGUGAUGACAAAAAGGAGUGAGAGGGGAGAGGAUGAGACUGUUAGAUAUGUUACCCUUGUCUGUGCCCGGGGAGGGAAGGCCCGAAAUAGGAUUUUGAAUGUCGCCAACCCACGUCCGACGGGAAAGACGGAAUGUCAGGCAAAAAUUAAUGCCUUAAAAGUUGUUAAUGGAAAGUUUCGGCUGACUACAGUUCACAAUAUCCACAACCACGGCCUCAGUCCAAAGAAAUCUUACUUUUUUCGAUGUAAUAGAGAAGUGAGUAAAUCCAUUAAAAGAGUCCUAGAUACAAAUGAUUUGGCCGGCAUCCGAAUGAAUAAGAGUUUCGAAUCUCUUGUUGUAGGCGCGGGUGGUUUUGAGAACCUCCCGUUUUUGGAAAAGGAUUGUCGUAACUACAUUGACAAGGCACGACAUCUACGAUUGGGCGCAAGUGGUGCUGGAGCGCUUUGAGACUACUUUUUACGGAUGCAGUACAAAAUUUUAGGUUUCUUUGCACUAAUGGACUUGGAUGAUGACGAGAGGUUAAAAAAUGUAUUCUGGGCAGACUCCCGUAGUAGAGCAGCCUACCAAUAUUUUGGGGAUGUCGUAACCUUCGAGACCAUAUACUUGACUAAUCGAUAUGGGAUGCCCUUUGCGUCAUUUGUUGGUGUAAACCACCAUAGGCAGUCAAUUUUGCUGGGAGCUGGCUUGAUUUCCUCUGAGGAUACUGAGACCUUCGUGUGGUUAUUCAAAACUUUGUUGCAAUGUAUGGAUGGUAUAGCGCCGAAGGCUAUUAUCAUUGACCAAGAUAGAACCAUGAAAAAUGCUAUUGCAAUUGUUUUCCCAGAAAGCCGACAUAGAUUUUGCCUGUGGCAUAUCCUUAAAAAAGUUCCUGAAAAGCUUGGCUGUUAUGGUUCUUACAAAACUGGAAUGAAAACUGCAUUAAUGAAAUGCAUAUAUGACACCCAAACGCCGGAAGAGUUUGAAAACUGUUGGGAUCAGUUGAUUAGCACGUACAGCUUGCAUGAGAAUGUUUGGUUGCAGAGUUUAUACACUGAGCGUGAGCAUUGGGUACCGGCCUUCUUGAAAAAUGUUUUUUGGGCUAGAACGAGUACAACGUAGUGGAGCGAGAGCAUGAAUGCCUUUUUUGAUGUUUAUGUUCAUGCUAAGACAAACUUGAAAGAGUUUGUCAAUCAAUAUGAUAAUGUCUUGAAAAAGAAGAUUGAGAACGAAAAUUGCGCGGACUUCCAAUCAUUUAAUGUCACAAUUCCCUACAUCUCUAGAUCUCCAAUUGAAAAGAUAUACCAAGAUUUGUACACAAAAUCUAAAUUCAGGGAAGUUCAGCACCAACUUACUGGUAUUAUCGACUUGGACCCAGUUUUACUUAACUCGGAUGUUCAUGCUAAGACCUAUCUGGUAGAGGAUGAAAUUCGUAUCAAAUAUUUCACUAAGCUAGUUACACAUUUAGUGGAUUUUUGUGAGGACGAUGCAGUCGCCAAGUAUUCUUGUGGUUUAUUUGAAAUGAGGGGGAUAGUGUGCCAGCACAUCUUCGCCGUCUUCAAAUGUAACGAGAUUAAGACAAUACCAGAUAGGUACAUUUUGAAUCGAUAGAAGAAAGACAUCAAAAGAAGAUACACGUUAAUCCACAUCAACUAUAACGCAGGGGAUCAACGAGAAGAUGCUAAUAGAUAUUCAAGUCUGUUGAAUAUCUAUUAUAAGAUGAUUACUUGUGCGGUGAGUUCGAAAAAACAUACUGAGGAUGCAACAACUAAGUUAAAUGCAAUGAUUGACCUGUAUGAAACGGACCAAGAACCUCCAUCGAUGACUGAAAAGUGUUUAAAUGUUGAUGGCACGACAAAUGACACAACUACAAUUGGUAGUUCAACAAAAGUACUCAGUCCACGUGUUGUGCGAGGAAAAGGCAAACCCCCAUCUCCGAGGAGAGCAUCCAGGAUAGAGAGAGACCUGCAAAAAGUUAAGGAGAAGACGAAGAAAGCUGCGGAAAAGGGAAAACGCAAACAGCGAGAUGGGGAAGAUACACCAGUCGGGGACACUUGCAGGAGGCUAUUUGGCCCUUCCGAUUUGGACUUCUCCAAUGUUGGACACGCGAGGAUAAUAUAAUAAGUAUAUAUUUUUAUUUGAGUUAUGAUUUAUUGCUCUAUUUUUUACAAGUAUUUAUCAUCAGGCUAUUCCAAAAAGCAUACCAACUAUUGACAUUAGUGGAACCCAGGCCCGAGAAACAGUACUUCAAAGUCAAGAAAGCAUGUAAUUUGAGUUUGAUGGAUCACAACCACGAAAAUGAUAUGAUCAUCGUGGAUUAGUAAGCAUGAAAACUGGAAGAAGUCACCUGAACCUAAGAAAUGUAUAGUCACAAUGAAAUUGCUCCGUUUGGUCUGCCCUUGUUUAUAUAUCCAAGGAGUUUUGAGUCCUUGAUGAGCCAAAGUAGCAUACAGCAGGGAGUCAUGGCUUGUAUUCUGAUGCCUACCAAGCAGUUUUUUUCCUUUCAAGAAUUAUGGCUAUGUAUCUAUCUUAAAAUGUAUACUGACUUAUGCAAUCUUAGAACUGAGGUCUGUAGGUUCAUAUAGUGUGAAGAAACUUCUCUAGGACGUCUAUGUACGAAUGCAGUUAGUUUUACUUU
Juglans microcarpa x Juglans regia is the source of this 3652-nucleotide RNA transcript. RefSeq lists it as uncharacterized. The record is from RefSeq and is a predicted model, not a curated record. The transcript has 8 exons. Lineage: Eukaryota; Viridiplantae; Streptophyta; Magnoliopsida; Fagales; Juglandaceae.